CCGGUUGAUCCCUGCCGGACCCUGAGUGCUAUCAGAUUGAUAUUAAGCCAUGUUAGUCAUCGUAGUAAUACAAGGCAGACGGCUCAGUAACGCGUAGUCAACCUAACUUAUGGACGGGGAUAACCUCGGGAAACUGAGAAUAAUACCCGAUAGGUCAUGAUGCCUGGAAUGGUUUGUGACUCAAAUGAAUGUCGCCGUAGGAUGGGACUGCGAGCUAUCAGCUUGUUGGUGAGGUAAUGGCCCACCAAGGCUAUAACAGCUACGGGCUCUGAGAGGAGUAGCCCGGAGAUGGGUACUGAGACAAGGACCCAGGCCCUAUGGGGCGCAGCAGGCGAGAAAACUUUGCAAUGCGCGAAAGCUCGACAAGGUUAAUCUGAGUGGUUCCUGCUAAAGGAACCUUUUGUUAGUCGUAGAACCACUAAUGAAUAAGGGGUGGGCAAGUCCUG
This 446-nucleotide ribosomal RNA is filed under the name uncultured marine crenarchaeote. RNAcentral's name for it is "bacterial SSU rRNA". It matches the Rfam family "Archaeal small subunit ribosomal RNA", at positions 4 to 455 of the family's 1478-position model. The record is from RNAcentral. Lineage: Archaea; Thermoproteati; Thermoproteota.